GACGAACGCUGGCGGCGUGCUUAACACAUGCAAGUCGAACGGAAAGGCCCCUUUGGGGGUACUCGAGUGGCGAACGGGUGAGUAACACGUGAGUAACCUGCCCUUGACUUCGGGAUAACUUCAGGAAACUGGGGCUAAUACCGGAUAGGAAUCCUUGCUGCAUGGUGGGGGUUGGAAAGCUUCGGCGGUUUUGGAUGGACUCGCGGCUUAUCAGCUUGUUGGUGGGGUAGUGGCUUACCAAGGCUUUGACGGGUAGCCGGCCUGAGAGGGCGACCGGCCACAUUGGGACUGAGAUACGGCACAGACUCCGAAGGGAGGCAGCAGUGGGGAAUAUUGCACAAUGGGCGGAAGCCUGAUGAAGAAACGCCGCGUGCGGGAUGACGGCCUUCGGGUUGUAAACCGCUUUCAGCAGGGGCGAAGCUUGUGGUGACGGUACCUGAAGAAGAAGCACCGGCUAACUACGUG
This 465-nucleotide ribosomal RNA is filed under the name uncultured bacterium. RNAcentral's name for it is "partial 16S ribosomal RNA". It matches the Rfam family "Bacterial small subunit ribosomal RNA", at positions 28 to 507 of the family's 1533-position model. The record is from RNAcentral.